GCCGCGCGCGCCAGGAGUGUAUCAGCCCGGACCCCAGUUCAUUGUGCUCGCCUCAUGCCAGCCCGAGUUCGCAGCUAGCGCUGGAGGCCCCGGGCCGGUGACCACAAAGCGGGAGCCGGGGGCCAGACGGGAGCGCGGCGGCCCCUCCUCCGAGCGCCAGGCCCCUCCUCUCAGCCUCCCGCCUGCCCGUCUGCCCCGCCCCCGCCGGCGGCGCCGCGCCCCUCCCCCGAGCGCCAGAGUAGCGCGGUGCGGGGACCGCGCGCGAAGACAAUGAGGGAGAAGCUGGAGCUGAGGCUGGAGUCGCUCUUGGGGACCGAGCCCGCCGUCUGCCCGUGGCCGCUGCCGGUCUACGUGGAAAGACUAUCUCCCAGUUGAACAGCGGAUGCCUGGGACUCGUUUCAUUGCUUUCAAAGUUCCUUUAAAAAAGAGUUUUGAAAAGAAUCUUGCUCCAGAAGAACGUUUCUCCCCUUUGGAUCUCUUAACAAAAUCCAAGAACAGAAUGAAGAACUUGGGCUGAUUAUUGACUUAACAAAUACUCGCCGCUAUUACAAGCCAGAGGACUUACCAGAAACUAUUCCUUAUUUAAAAAUUUGUACAAUUGGGCAUCAGGUAUCAGAUGACGACACUAGUUUUAAAUUCCAGUGUGCUGUUAAUGGGUUUCUGAAAGAACAUAAAGAUAACAUCCAUUCUUCACACAAGAAACCUUAAAAGCAAGUUGGGACAUUGCUCAUAAACAUGGCUCAAAAACAUUGUUUUGAGAAUAGAAAACAAACUGUUGGCCUUUAACACUCUGCGUGGUCUAGAAUCCUGUCUGCUUCUCUGCUACGUGGACUCUAGCUUGGUGCCUCUCCAACUUUAAUAUGGGUAUGCCUCUCUUAUGGAUCUUGUUAAAUGCAGGCUGUAAUUCAGUAGUUCUGGGUGGGGCCUGGAUUCUGUGCUUCUAACGAGCUCCUAGGUGAUGGUGACCCUGAGAGCAAGGGUCCAGCUCCUGCCUUUCUCCCUUCUUUUUGGAAGAGCAGGACGUCUGCCCCCCCAGGAGGAGAAAACAUCCGCAAUGUGACUACUAGUAACCAGCUUCCGUCACAGGCAAGGGACCUUUACCACUGCUCCCUACCAUUUUGUCUGAGGCGCAGCAAGCCAAAACACUGACAUGCUGAGGUUUGCAGCAAAGAGGAGGUUUAUUCACAAGGCAGCCAAGCGAGGAAGUGACGUGACAAUAGGUCUCAAAUCCGCCUCCCCAAAGGCAAGGGGCUUGGGGUAUCUAGGGGAUAAAGAAUAAAGAAGCAGGGCAGUAUGAGGCAUGGGGAGCAUGAGGAAAGGUGAUUGGAAAAAGGUGUGCUCAUCAUUGUUCUGAGCUGGCGUAACUAGGCUACGGGGCUCAGCACAUUCUCAGGCUGUAGUUUUCGGCCCUCUGAUGGCAGGAGGUCAAAAGGCACUGGCCCAGGUGGAAGAUCGGUGGUCCUCUCCAGUCUUAACCAGCUCAGCCUAACUAGACACAGCUGAUUCCAAGUUCCUGGACAAUACCCGGGCCAAACAUCUUAUUGCUUAUGCUACAUGCUAUUUGGAGGACGUGCAAGUGUUCAAGCUACCUUGAGGAGUGAAGACAGGAUUUGACUAAUCCUUACACAUGGUUUCACCUCCAGAUGAGCAGAAGAGGCCUGUAGGCUGAAUCUGGCUCCUGGCACCUGGAAUUGGAGGCAGAUGGUUUAAAAACAGGCUCUCCCACCCUCUGUGUGAUCUUAGGUAGAUAGACUAUUUAACCUUCCUGUGCCUGUUUCUCCACCAGCAGCAUGGGGACACUCAGAGUCCCUCUCUUGGGGGCUGUUAUGGGGGUUCAGUGAGAUAUAGAUGCAUGCACAGGCACACGGGAGACACCCAGUGUGUGUUAGCUUCAUGCUUCCUUUUAUUAGGAGACCAGUAUUGUUAGAAGAUUUCUGGUUUGGACCACAAAUUAGAUAGGUGGUCAUUACUAUAGUUUAUGCAACAGCAAUUCACAUUACCAUUUGCAAAAAAGCAGUUGGUUGUCCAGUGGGGAUUAUAAACAUCCAUUUACCAUGAGCUACUGAACAGAUACUUUACACAGUAACUACUUCAAGUACUAUUUAAGAUCAGUUCUCUAUGUUGUCUUAAGCAGUUGUUAACCCCCAAUUUCGUGAAUAGUACCAAGUAAGUCACUUGAACAUCAGCUAGAGCAAUCUAUUUCACUUAGCAAGCCUAAAGCUAUAGUUCAAGAAUUUUAUUUACUGUUCUAUGACAAAAAUUACUCUCAACAGCUAUGCCCUGGAUAAGUAAUCAGCUAAAGCUAGUUUGACUGACCAAAUCUGAUUUACUGAGUUAAUAAGCCAGUUGAUUUAGAAAGGUCUAAUGUAUAUUUCUCAUCCAUUCAGCAUUAAACUGUUUCCCAUGCCUAAAA
Molecule: long non-coding RNA, 2413 nt
Organism: Lagenorhynchus albirostris (white-beaked dolphin)
Lineage: Eukaryota; Metazoa; Chordata; Mammalia; Artiodactyla; Delphinidae
Exons: 5
Source: RefSeq, a predicted model, not a curated record